Molecule: ribosomal RNA, 468 nt
Filed under: uncultured bacterium
Lineage: Bacteria
Description: partial 16S ribosomal RNA
Rfam family: Bacterial small subunit ribosomal RNA
Source: RNAcentral
GACGAACGCUGGCGGCGUGCUUAACACAUGCAAGUCGAACGGAAAGGCCCUGCUUUUGUGGGGUGCUCGAGUGGCGAACGGGUGAGUAACACGUGAGUAACCUGCCCUUGACUUUGGGAUAACUUCAGGAAACUGGGGCUAAUACCGGAUAGGGGUCCCUCCUCCAUGGUGGGGGUGGGAAAGUUUCGGCGGUUGGGGAUGGACUCGCGGCUUAUCAGCUUGUUGGUGGGGUAGUGGCUUACCAAGGCUUUGACGGGUAGCCGGCCUGAGAGGGUGACCGGCCACAUUGGGACUGAGAUACGGCCCAGACUCCUACGGGAGGCAGCAGUGGGGAAUAUUGCACAAUGGGCGGAAGCCUGAUGCAGCAACGCCGCGUGCGGGAUGACGGCCUUCGGGUUGUAAACCGCUUUCGCCUGUGACGAAGCGUGAGUGACGGUAAUGGGUAAAGAAGCACCGGCUAACUACGUG